This 459-nucleotide ribosomal RNA is filed under the name uncultured bacterium. RNAcentral's name for it is "partial 16S ribosomal RNA". It matches the Rfam family "Bacterial small subunit ribosomal RNA", at positions 338 to 795 of the family's 1533-position model. The record is from RNAcentral.
CCUACGUGGGCAGCAGUGAGGAAUAUUGGUCAAUGGACGAGAGUCUGAACCAGCCAAGUAGCGUGAAGGAUGACUGCCCUAUGGGUUGUAAACUUCUUUUAUAUGGGAAUAAAAUGUUCCACGUGUGGGAUUUUGUAUGUACCAUAUGAAUAAGGAUCGGACAACUUCGUGCCAGCAGACGCGGUAAUACGGAGGAUCCGAGCGUUAUCCUGAUUUAUUGGGUUUAAAGGGAGCGUAGGUGGAUUGUUAAGUCAGUUGUGAAAGUUUGCGGUUCAACCGUAAAAUUGCAGUUGAAACUGGCAGUCUUGAGUACAGGAGAGGUGGGCGGAAUUCGUGGUGUAGCGGGGAAAUGCUUAGAGAUCACGAAGAACUCCGAUUGCGAAGGCAGCUCACUGGACUGCAACUGACACUGAGGCUCGAAAGUGUGGGUAUCAAACAGGAUUAGAUACCCUUGUAGUC